AACUUUUCGAAUCCGUGCUGAGAUUUCGUCCGACACCAACCUACUAGGACUGAUCAGACAUCCAAGAUAAGUGAAGUU
RNAcentral lists this microRNA precursor (78 nucleotides) under Schistosoma mattheei. RNAcentral's name for it is "mir-3492 microRNA precursor family". It matches the Rfam family "mir-3492 microRNA precursor family". Lineage: Eukaryota; Metazoa; Platyhelminthes; Trematoda; Strigeidida; Schistosomatidae. The record is from Rfam by way of RNAcentral.